This is a long non-coding RNA of Hippocampus comes (tiger tail seahorse), 1404 nucleotides long. RefSeq lists it as uncharacterized. The transcript has 4 exons. The record is from RefSeq and is a predicted model, not a curated record. Lineage: Eukaryota; Metazoa; Chordata; Actinopteri; Syngnathiformes; Syngnathidae.
GGCUUCCUGCCUUCCCAACUCCUGGAUCACAGUCUGAGUUCCGCAGGAUGGUCUACACCGCCAAUGUUUCAAGCGCCGCCCCUUCAGCCGCCUCGUGCACAGAACCAAUCCGCCCCGCCGGCUCCGGCUUCUCUCGCCAAUGCUACCGCAGGUGGAUCCAGAAAUAUGUCUGCUUGGUUCAACCUGUUCGCGGACCUGGACCCGCUCUCCAACCCCGACGCCAUCGGACGCUCCGCAGACGAGCUCCUCAACGCCUGAAACUGUGGUGCUGCUUUCAUCCUGGAUGCGUUUUGGGCUUUAUCACAUUCCAAAGAAGGACUUUAUUACUUUAUCACAUUGCAUUGUUCUGUUUGUUGUAUACUUAAUGGACGUAUGUGUCGGUGAUCACAUUCCCAGAGCCGCUGGGAGCUCCAUACAAGUCUGCAUCUGCAUCACAGGAUCAUGUGAAAUGCAUAUCAAAAUCAUCUUUAUUGACAGAGUGUGUUUAAGAACACACAACUGAUUCGUAACAAACUGACAAGAACAGAAGAAAUUUGAUCCGACAUUGCACCAACCAGAUCAUAACCAGCAGGAAGUGGACUCCUUAUAUGGUUUUGACGGUUCUCCACUAAUGGCCGUUUUCAACGAAUCAUCCUUGCUGCUAAACAUUGAAUCAGUGAUUGACAUACAGUAAAUCAAAAAUAUUUAGCACCAGUGGGUCAUGGACUCCAGGCCAGUGUUGCUGACACCAGGAGCGCCACAAAUAGAUGUUUCGCUAUGUAUAGCGUUAUGAAUAUUUUCCUGUAUUGAUUAUACCCUUUUCUUGGAUGAUUUGCUUGAAAGGUUUGCCAUCACACUACAGCCGCAAUCCACUUCUUCUUUGGACUGAACCCUUUUUUUUUUUUUUAAUGCAGAUGGAAAUGAAUGGAAUGAAAAUUGCCGUCUUUCUGAUCUUUCUGAAUGCUGAGAUUCUGAUGUGAUAGAACUGUAUUGUGGAAAAAGAACAUGUACAUAUUGUACAUAUUUUUUUUCACAAAUUAGGAACAAAAUCAGACAAGAUUACAAUUUAAAAUUUGGAGGGGAAAAAUAUGACAGCAGUUAUUUUGAGAUGUGUAUUCCUGACUGAGUGCAUCUGUUGUGAAGGGUCUUAUACAGUAGUCUAUUAUAAUUGCUGUUGUUACUUCUGUAUUUUGAUUAAUUUUCGCGUGAUACAUGGACUCUACUUUUUACUAUAUUUAUCUUGAGCUUUAAAGAGUUUCAAAGUUAUUUACUGACAGUCGUACUUACUAUUUACUCUGUCACUUGCUGUCUACCGUUUACUCUUGAAGAAUGUAUUUAUCGAACCACAAUUGCUUCAUUUCGUUUAUUUUGUUUAACUUAAGAAUUUACAAAUGGAAUCGGGUUACCAAUAAAGAGGAGCAAAAA